RNAcentral lists this transfer RNA (73 nucleotides) under Acidobacteriota bacterium. Its description in RNAcentral is "Acidobacteria bacterium (bioreactor metagenome) tRNA-Val". It matches the Rfam family "tRNA". Rfam says of the family: Transfer RNA (tRNA) molecules are approximately 80 nucleotides in length. Their secondary structure includes four short double-helical elements and three loops (D, anti-codon, and T loops). Lineage: Bacteria; Pseudomonadati; Acidobacteriota. The record is from RNAcentral.
UGGAGCGUAGCUCAGCGGUAGCAGCAUCGGUCUUACAAACCGGAGGUCGUGGGUUCGAUCCCCACCGCUCCAA